UAUAAAGAAAGAGAAAGAGAGAGGGUGCGGAUAAGAGAAGUACAAUCAACUCAAGAUUGGAGCAAGUUGUAUCUUCUGAGGAUCCGAUUUCUGUUCUCGCUCCGAUUAUGAUCUUUAUCACCGGAUAGAGGAUUCUGAGAGAGAGGAGAAGAGAGAAUAUUGUUGGAAAUCUAACCUCUGGCUGCAAUAGAUGGUGAACGGAUCACAGUUUCUGCCACGACAAAGUCAGAGUCACCGCCUUUAAUUCGUUGGCUUCUUCAUCAUCUCGCGUUUGACGUCAAAGUGUUCUUCGCGACGAAAUCCAGGUUUUUUUUUAUGUUUUAUGUUAAAUUAGGAUAUCCAUGUGCUGAUAUGAACAAGAUAUUGCAGUGUACUGAAACUUUUCUUGUUUCCAAACAAAUAAUUAUAUGGUGA
RNAcentral lists this long non-coding RNA (414 nucleotides) under Helianthus annuus (common sunflower). Lineage: Eukaryota; Viridiplantae; Streptophyta; Magnoliopsida; Asterales; Asteraceae. The record is from RNAcentral.